This 581-nucleotide ribosomal RNA is filed under the name Enterobacter asburiae. RNAcentral's name for it is "bacterial SSU rRNA". It matches the Rfam family "Bacterial small subunit ribosomal RNA", at positions 90 to 667 of the family's 1533-position model. The record is from RNAcentral. Lineage: Bacteria; Pseudomonadati; Pseudomonadota; Gammaproteobacteria; Enterobacterales; Enterobacteriaceae.
GACGAGCGGCGGACGGGUGAGUAAUGUCUGGGAAACUGCCUGAUGGAGGGGGAUAACUACUGGAAACGGUAGCUAAUACCGCAUAACGUCGCAAGACCAAAGAGGGGGACCUUCGGGCCUCUUGCCAUCAGAUGUGCCCAGAUGGGAUUAGCUAGUAGGUGGGGUAACGGCUCACCUAGGCGACGAUCCCUAGCUGGUCUGAGAGGAUGACCAGCCACACUGGAACUGAGACACGGUCCAGACUCCUACGGGAGGCAGCAGUGGGGAAUAUUGCACAAUGGGCGCAAGCCUGAUGCAGCCAUGCCGCGUGUAUGAAGAAGGCCUUCGGGUUGUAAAGUACUUUCAGCGGGGAGGAAGGCGAUAAGGUUAAUAACCUUGUCGAUUGACGUUACCCGCAGAAGAAGCACCGGCUAACUCCGUGCCAGCAGCCGCGGUAAUACGGAGGGUGCAAGCGUUAAUCGGAAUUACUGGGCGUAAAGCGCACGCAGGCGGUCUGUCAAGUCGGAUGUGAAAUCCCCGGGCUCAACCUGGGAACUGCAUUCGAAACUGGCAGGCUAGAGUCUUGUAGAGGGGGGUAGAAU